UCAGGUUACAUACGCUUCAGGUUACAGACUCCGCUAACCCAGAAAUAGUGCUUCAGGUUAAGAACUUUGCUUCAGGAUGAGAACAGAAAUCGUGCAGCGGCGGCGGGAGGCCCCUAAGGCUAAAGUGGUGCUUCAGGUUAAGAACAGUUUCAGGUUAAGUACGGACCUCCGGAAUGAAUUAAGUACUUAACCUGAGGUACCACUGUACUAGACUUCAAGUGCCAGCUUCAGCACUCAGUUCUACCAGCAGCGAUAUGCAUUUAGUUUUAGCCAUAAUUAAAACACAAAAAAGCACAAGUCGUUUAGUUUUAGCCUAACUGUGGCCUCAGAGUUGGAUGGGGGGGGUGCUUGCCUACUAUUGCUCCUCCUUCCCCUUGCCAGCUGUGUCUCUGCCCAUGUGCUGCUGCCCAUUUCAGUAAGAGAAGCAAUAUUCAUCACCCUGACCUUGCAGGGCCAUUGCCCAAUGUUGGGAAGAGAGACACAUGCUCUUGCCCACUGAGAGACAAAGUGAAGAAACUGGCCACUGUGACCUCAUGUUGAUGCCGCCCAAUUGAAGGAGAGAGAUCAGGCAUUGUGACCUUUUAUUUAUGAUGCCUGACUGAAGAACUAAGACUGACCACUGUGACCUCAGGCAGAUCAUGUCUGUCAAAGGAUCAGUAUUUGCCACUGUGUCCACAUAUUGCUGACCACUUUUGCACUCCAAACUUUUUGCACUUUCAUAAGAAAGGUACCUUUUGCACUCCAAACUGGAAAGGAGUUUCUUAAUUUUCUGUCUUAUUCUCUUAUCCUUUCAAAUGCAAGUUUCACUUUUCCUGGCUUGCAGCCCCCACUGUCCACCAAUAUUUUAUUUUAGGUGAUUGCUCUGUAGCUGCUGUAUGCAAAUACAGUGGUACCUCAGGUUAAGAACUUAAUUCGUUCUGGAUGUCCGUUCUUAACCUGAAACUGUUCUUAACCUGAGGUACCACUUUAGCUAAUGGGGCCUCCCACUGCCUCCACACCGCCACCGCACGUUUUCUGUUCUCAUCGUGAAGCAAAGUUCUUAACCUGAAGUACUAUUUCUGGGUUAGCAGAGUCUGUAACCUGAAGCGUCUGUAACCUGAAGCAUCUGUAACCCGAGGUACCAAUGUAAUGGAUAAAAUUUGAAAUUUGCACUUAUCCAGAUUAUGCAAUGCAGUUCUCCAACCAAUGUUUACAAAAAUGCAUAUAUUAGAGGAGUAUGUGCCUAAAAAUGACGGUAUUUGUGAAAAUAACAUACAUGUUUUCCACAUUUCUGCAGCAAUUUGUGAUCUAUUUAAAAAAGAAUCAUUGUGAAAUUUCAUCAGCAUUUCAGUAUGGAUUUAUCCUAUUAAACACAUUUUUAUAUGCAGUUCUGGCCCAUGUAAGCACUUUUGAAAGUAUUCUUUCCUGAUAUGCUUGUAUGUACAUUUUCUCCUUUUGUAGAAAGAAGACAUGUGAAGUAUUAGCUAAUUAUUCACACAAGCCGUAGUUUAAUGAGAGAAAGUGAUUCUCAUGAAGAAUGAACCUUCUCCAGGUACCCAGAGGUUAUGGUGUAAAACAAUCAAUAUUCUAAGCUGAGAAACAUCAGUUUUACCUGAAGCUGCACAGCUCCUAUGUUCGUGAUGUGGCUGCUUUAUCAGUAGUGAAGUACCAUGAAACGUAAGAAAUUAUACUUCUUGAAGAUUUCAUAAUUAUUGUGCUUUUAAUGGAAUGAAGGGAGCAAAAACAAGUUUCCAAUUAUUUUCAGAUGCCCUACGGAGAAGAAAGAAGUAGCCGCACUAUCUCCAAUCCCCCUUUAUUAUAGUCAUUAUUUCUUUGCAAGGAUGUACAACUUUUGUCAACUACCCUAAUAAUGACAUGAAACACUGAACAUUACUGAGUGGGGAAAGCUCUUUCUGCUUUCCAAAGGUUAUCAAAAGUGCUGAGAACGGAAGAAUAGCAGAGUGAUUUGCUCCCCCC
This 1956-nucleotide long non-coding RNA is filed under the name Podarcis lilfordi (Lilford's wall lizard). Lineage: Eukaryota; Metazoa; Chordata; Lepidosauria; Squamata; Lacertidae. The record is from RNAcentral.